This 745-nucleotide long non-coding RNA is filed under the name Triticum aestivum (bread wheat). RNAcentral describes it as "long non-coding RNA (TAES_LNC020959)". Lineage: Eukaryota; Viridiplantae; Streptophyta; Magnoliopsida; Poales; Poaceae. The record is from RNAcentral.
ACAAACAAGGCAGCAAUAACAUAGAUAUGGUGCAUUACAUCACGAAGACACGUGUUCAUUAGUACUAAAACAAAUAGUUAUACAAAUAGUUCAAACAUAGUUGAGUUGGAGGACAAGGUUUUGUGGUUCUAUUUGUUCAUUUGAUCAUGUUUCCUAUUGAGCCAAUCAAGUCUCCCCUUUUUUGUUUCGAUCAGCAUGAACAACUCUCUAUAGUUGGGUUGGAGCACAAGGUCAGUGGCUGUGAAAUACAAAGGAGUUCCCUCCUCGGCCCCACAAUACUUCGUCAAAGUCAAAACUUCCUUCAUGGUAGGAACAACACUUGCUGGAGCAUGAGUUGCUGCUAUCUCUGAGUUUAUAUUCCCAAGUGUGGCCUUCUACUCACGUAGAAAAGGGUUCUUGUCCUCCUUAGCUGACUCGUCAAUAAACUUGGCCUUGCGCUUCAGAUAUUUUGCCGCCUUUCCAUCCUUAGGUGAGACCUUGACCUCCUUUGCCGCCUUUCCAUCCUUAGGUGAAACCUUGACCUCCUUCAAUGCAUUUCCAUCCUCCUCAGACUCUUCUCCAACAUCAGGCAUAUCAUCAUCAUUUGUGUUGUCUGACAUCUCCCCAGGAAUAGAUGAUGUAGCCCCGGUGACAUGUGCGUUGGCGAACAUGACAUGAAUUUCUUCCAAGUUGGCCAGCCCCUUCUUCUUGUACUUUGCAUGCUUAGGAUUUUUCUGAAAUAUAGCAUAAGAGUUAGCAAUUCCAC